AUGCUGGUGCUGGGAAUUGAACCCAGGUCCUCUGGAAGAGCAGCCAGUGCUCUUAACCUCUGAGUCAUCUCUCCAGCCCCAGGAAUACUUUAUCUUUGAGGCUAUAAGAGCCAGAGAGAUGUCAUGUGACGGUGUGCAGACCCAGGCAUCUGCCCUGUGAAGGAGUAGGGCUUGUGAGGGCAGAAGACAUGUGGGGUGAGGGUGGGGAGCAGUAAGCCAACUUAACCCUUGGAGGCAUGCAGAGGCCUGCUGUGGAAACCCUCUUCUGGGUUUAUCAAUGGAAACCCUCUUCUGGGUUUAUCAAUUUAGUUCUAUUUCCUGUUUAUGUUCAUUGGUAUUUUGACUACAUGUAUUUCUGUGUGAGGGUGCCCAAAGCCCUGGAAAGGGAGUUGCAGACAGGUGUGAGCUGUCCUGUGGGUGCUGGGAAUUGAACCGGGGUCCUCUGGAAGAGCAACCAGUGCCCUUAACCACUGAGCCAUCUCUCCAGCCUCCCUCUUCAUUGUUAUUAAGGAGACCAGCCUUAUGGAAAAUUUGGACACAAAAGAAUUAACCAAUGUUUUAUUUUCUAAAUGCUCUAGGUGUUACUUAGGUAUCUGGCAUGGCACAUGACUAGCAGCCAGUCCUCUGUAUGUGCUUAACAUGUCUGAGUGAGUUUGUGUAGGGGAGGUGAACCACUCCUCCGCCCCAACAUAUUGUGUCCUGGGGACUGAGCCCCUUUGUCAGUACAUAGGGUCUGAAUACUUGCCCUCUGCUGUCUCAGAGACACACCGCCCCCCUCAGAACCCCCACACCUCUCUGUUGCAGGGUGACUGUCAAGUUUAUGGGUUCACCUCACAGGAAGUGGGGGGUUCAGAAGAACCAGAACUAUCAAAGUAGAGCAGUUUGCAAUAAAGGAUGCAUUGAGGCUCGGGACAAACGGCACUCCAAUUCUUCAGGACCCUGGCUGUUAUCUUCUGAACUCCAACCUCUGUAGGUUUUUCAUUAAGACCAGUAUGACCAGGCUUUUGGACUAUGUACCUUCAACCUCAUAGAACAAAAACCUUGUGGUGUCAGGACAGGUACCCUUGACCCUGGCUGGCAAAAACUAAGAAUAAAAACAAGGAUAUAGUUAUUGAAUAUCCAUGUCCAUGAGUGUGUCCGUGUGUCCGUGUGUCCGUGUGUGUGUGUGUGUGUGUGUGUGUGUGUGUGUGUGUGUGUGUGAUUUCCUGAUCUUGGCUGCAGCUUGAAGAGCUGUGGACGUUGACCAUAUCCCCAUGUUACACAGAAGAAAACCAAGUCUCAGAGACGCUGACGGGUGCUGCUGGUACGCAACCAAGUUCCAUGAAGCCGGGGAGACUGGGUUUGUCUCGUUCACUGUUGGAUUUCCCGUGCUCGACUCCGUACCUGGAACGCAGCUGUUGGAUACACAUUUGUUGACUGGAUGGCUAAUGAACAAAUGCACAGACAUACAGUGAGGGUCUCUCGCUGAAGCUGGAGCUCAUUGAUUCUACUAGACUGGCUGGCCAGCACAAUCACGAGGAAUCCGCCCAGAUCGGGAUCUGCUGGGACACUCACUGCUGCCCUGAAUUAUUUGUUUGUUUGUUUGUUUACAUGAGGGUUGGGAAUACGGCUCAGGUCCUCGUGCUUGUCCGUCAAGCACAUCUUUCACCGGACCUCCUCCUCAGCUCUCGGAGUUUCUGGGUCUGCUCAGGAGCUGCCUUCCUUUUCCACAAAGAGAAGUGGAGCAGGCGAACCUGAGUUCACUCCGUUUUGCCUGGAAGAGAUGAAAGGGAAGAAAGGCUGACCGUUUUCUAGAAGAUCCCUCACAAGCUAUGUGCAUGACAUCAUGAAGGCUUGCUUGGACCCAGAGCCUGGGUUGGCCCAACUUUGCACUGAGCUCCUACCCAAGGAUUUCCCUCUGGCUCCCUGUGGCCACUGUCACUCUUCGGGGGAUCUUCCUACAAAGUAAUAAAAAUGCUCUACAAGGAUA
Peromyscus maniculatus bairdii (prairie deer mouse) is the source of this 1969-nucleotide non-coding RNA. Lineage: Eukaryota; Metazoa; Chordata; Mammalia; Rodentia; Cricetidae. The record is from RefSeq and is a predicted model, not a curated record.